This 450-nucleotide ribosomal RNA is filed under the name uncultured bacterium. RNAcentral's name for it is "partial 16S ribosomal RNA". It matches the Rfam family "Bacterial small subunit ribosomal RNA", at positions 354 to 796 of the family's 1533-position model. The record is from RNAcentral.
GUGGGGAAUCUUCCGCAAUGGACGAAAGUCUGACGGAGCAACGCCGCGUGAGUGAUGAAGGUCUUCGGAUUGUAAAGCUCUGUUAAUCGGGACGAAAGAGCCUAGUGUGAAUAAUGCUAGGAAGUGACGGUACCGGAAUAGAAAGCCACGGCUAACUACGUGCCAGCAGCCGCGGUAAUACGUAGGUGGCAAGCGUUGUCCGGAAUUAUUGGGCGUAAAGCGCGCGCAGGCGGAUCUGCCAGUCUGUCUUAAAAGUUCGGGGCUUAACCCCGUGAUGGGAUGGAAACUACAGAGCUAGAGUAUCGGAGAGGAAAGUGGAAUUCCAAGUGUAGCGGUGAAAUGCGUAGAGAUUUGGAAGAACACCAGUGGCGAAGGCGACUUUCUGGACGAUGUCUGACGCUGAGGCGCGAAAGCUAGGGGAGCGAACGGGAUUAGAAACCCGGGUAGUCC